GAUCCUGGCUCAGGAUGAACGCUAGCGGCAGGCUUAACACAUGCAAGUCGAGGGGCAGCGGGGUGUAGCAAUACACUGCCGGCGACCGGCGCACGGGUGCGUAACGCGUAUGCAACCUACCCAUAACAGGGGCAUAACACUGAGAAAUUGGUACUAAUUCCCCAUAACAUUCGAAGAGGCAUCUCUUUGGGUUGAAAACUCCGGUGGUUAUGGAUGGGCAUGCGUUGUAUUAGCUAGUUAG
RNAcentral lists this ribosomal RNA (241 nucleotides) under uncultured bacterium. Its description in RNAcentral is "partial 16S ribosomal RNA". It matches the Rfam family "Bacterial small subunit ribosomal RNA", at positions 15 to 252 of the family's 1533-position model. The record is from RNAcentral.